RNAcentral lists this transfer RNA (96 nucleotides) under Thermofilum adornatum. RNAcentral's name for it is "Thermofilum adornatus tRNA". It matches the Rfam family "tRNA". From Rfam's summary of the family: Transfer RNA (tRNA) molecules are approximately 80 nucleotides in length. Their secondary structure includes four short double-helical elements and three loops (D, anti-codon, and T loops). Further hydrogen bonds mediate the characteristic L-shaped molecular structure. tRNAs have two regions of fundamental functional importance: the anti-codon, which is responsible for specific mRNA codon recognition, and the 3' end, to which the tRNAs corresponding amino acid is attached (by aminoacyl-tRNA synthetases). tRNAs cope with the degeneracy of the genetic code in two manners: having more than one tRNA (with a specific anti-codon) for a particular amino acid; and 'wobble' base-pairing, i.e. permitting non-standard base-pairing at the 3rd anti-codon position. Lineage: Archaea; Thermoproteati; Thermoproteota; Thermoprotei; Thermofilales; Thermofilaceae. The record is from Rfam by way of RNAcentral.
GCCCCGGUAGCUCAGCCGGUGGAGCGUCGGCCUCGUAAGAGGCAUGGAGAGGUUCGAGAUAGCCGAAGGUCCCGGGUUCAAACCCCGGCCGGGGCU